CUUUUUCAUUACCAUCCUUAAAGUAACGCCACCAACAAUAAAUAUUCCCAACUUCUCUUGCUUGUGGUUGACAUUCUCCUUUCAGUCGAUCGCAGCCAUGGACUUGCCAAAACCACAAUCAAAUGCCCGCUUCACCCUUGGUAAGCAGUCCUCACUGAAGCCGGAGGGUGAGGGCUUGUCACCGGAGGAGGAAGAGGCUAUAAUAGACNNNNNNNNNGGUUAAUGUAUCUUGCGAAUGAGGGAGAAAUGGAAGGGAUUAAGGAGAUCCUGGACUCGGGGACCAAUGUUAAUUUUAGAGAUAUCGACGGACGCACCGCUUUGCACGUCGCUGCUUGCCAGGGCUUCAGCGAUGUUGUUCAGUUAUUGCUCGAUAGAGGAGCCGAGGUUGACACUAAGGAUCGCUGGGGCAGCACUCCUCUUGCAGAUGCUAUAUAUUACAAAAAUCAUGAUGUGAUCAAGCUUUUAGAGGAACAUGGCGCAAAACCCCCGAUAGCUCCCAUGCAUGUCCAAAAUGCUCGUGAAAUUCCAGAAUAUGAGAUUGAUCCUAGAGAGCUUGAUUUUUCUAAUAGUGUUGAUAUAACCAAGGGAACUUUUCGCAUUGCAUCAUGGCGUGGAAUUCAAGUUGCAGUUAAAACACUGGGGGAGGAAGUAUUUACUGAUGAGAAUAANNNNNNNNNNNNUUUUGGGGAUGAGCUUGCAUUGCUUCAGAAGAUUCGUCACCCGAAUGUUGUUCAAUUCCUGGGUGCUGUAACUCAAAGUAGUCCAAUGAUGAUUGUGACGGAAUAUUUACCUAAGGGGGAUCUUUUUGCGUAUUUGAAGGAAAAAGGUGCUUUAAAGCCAAGAGUAGCUGUGAAGUUUGCACUUGAUAUUGCUAGGGGAAUGAACUACUUGCAUGAGCAUAAACCUGAAGCAAUAAUUCACCGAGAUCUUGAGCCUUCAAAUAUACUGCGGGAUGAUUCUGGG
RNAcentral lists this unclassified non-coding RNA (963 nucleotides) under Hevea brasiliensis (rubber tree). Lineage: Eukaryota; Viridiplantae; Streptophyta; Magnoliopsida; Malpighiales; Euphorbiaceae. The record is from RNAcentral.